RNAcentral lists this long non-coding RNA (304 nucleotides) under Coffea arabica (coffee). RNAcentral's name for it is "long non-coding RNA (CARA_LNC000472)". The record is from RNAcentral. Lineage: Eukaryota; Viridiplantae; Streptophyta; Magnoliopsida; Gentianales; Rubiaceae.
AAAUCAUUUACAUUCUUUACUAACCUCAAUAAUACUUAGAAAAAAAUGUAAACAAUCCAAAUUGAGUAAUGCACCUCACAUUAUUCAAUUCAAAUUCACAAAAGAAAAAAUUGAAAAGUUCAGCUAAAAGAUAUAAAGUAGAAUAAUUAAAUGUUCAUGCGAAGUUGGGCAUAAGCACAGCUCAUAUAUUUUAUUCUUAAUAAUUAAUUCAUUCUAAUUGUACAAUUCCAUUUUGUUUGUCUUACCAAGGAAAAAAUAACAUUCAAAAUGUUAUGGCAAAUAGCAUUCAAAAUGUUGAUACAAA